This 483-nucleotide ribosomal RNA is filed under the name uncultured bacterium. Its description in RNAcentral is "partial 16S ribosomal RNA". It matches the Rfam family "Bacterial small subunit ribosomal RNA", at positions 30 to 507 of the family's 1533-position model. The record is from RNAcentral.
AUUGAACGCUGGCGGCAGGCCUAACACAUGCAAGUCGAGCGGAUGAAGGGAGCUUGCUCCUGGAUUCAGCGGCGGACGGGUGAGUAAUGCCUAGGAAUCUGCCUGGUAGUGGGGGAUAACGUCCGGAAACGGGCGCUAAUACCGCAUACGUCCUGUGGGAGAAAGUGGGGAUCUUCGGACCUCACGCUAUCAGAUGAGCCUAGGUCGGAUUAGCUAGUUGGUGGGGUAAAGGCCUACCAAGGCGACGAUCCGUAACUGGCCUGAGAGGAUGAUCAGUCACACUGGAACUGAGACACGGUCCAGACUCCUACGGGAGGCAGCAGUGGGGAAUAUUGGACAAUGGGCGAAAGCCUGAUCCAGCCAUGCCGCGUGUGUGAAGAAGGUCUUCGGAUUGUAAAGCACUUUAAGUUGGGAGGAAGGGCAGUAAGUUAAUACCUUGCUGUUUUGACGUUACCAACAGAAUAAGCACCGGCUAACUUCGUG